CCAAUAGCGUAUAUUAAAGUUGUUGCAGUUAAAAAGCUCGUAGUUGAAUUUCGGGAUUGGCGCAUCGGUCGUGCCUUACGGGGUAUGAACUGGUGCAGUCAAUUUCUCACCUUCUGGAGAACCGCGAUGUCCUUAAUUGGGUGCCGUGGGAAACCAGGACCUUUACUUUGAAAAAAUUAGAGUGUUUAAAGCAGGCAUUU
This 200-nucleotide ribosomal RNA is filed under the name uncultured Entrophospora. Its description in RNAcentral is "uncultured Claroideoglomus partial small subunit ribosomal RNA". It matches the Rfam family "Eukaryotic small subunit ribosomal RNA", at positions 591 to 789 of the family's 1831-position model. The record is from RNAcentral. Lineage: Eukaryota; Fungi; Glomeromycota; Glomeromycetes; Entrophosporales; Entrophosporaceae.